Molecule: ribosomal RNA, 455 nt
Filed under: uncultured bacterium
Lineage: Bacteria
Description: bacterial SSU rRNA
Rfam family: Bacterial small subunit ribosomal RNA
Source: RNAcentral
GCACAAGCGGUGGAGCAUGUGGCUUAAUUCGAUGCAACGCGAAGAACCUUACCUGGGUUUGACAUGUACGGAAAUCUGGCAGAGACGUCAGGUCCGCAAGGGUCGUACACAGGUGGUGCAUGGUUGUCGUCAGCUCGUGUCGUGAGAUGUUGGGUUAAGUCCCGCAACGAGCGCAACCCUCGUCCUAUGUUGCCAGCGCGUAAUGGCGGGGACUCAUAGGAGACUGCCGGGGUCAACUCGGAGGAAGGUGGGGAUGACGUCAAAUCAUCAUGCCCCUUAAGUCCAGGGCUGCACACAUGCUACAAUGGCCGAUACAAAGGGCUGCGAUACCGCAAGGUGGAGCGAAUCCCAAAAAGUCGGUCUCAGUUCGGAUUGGGGUCUGCAACUCGACCCCAUGAAGUCGGAGUCGCUAGUAAUCGCAGAUCAGCAACGCUGCGGUGAAUACGUUCCCGGGC